This 523-nucleotide ribosomal RNA is filed under the name uncultured bacterium. RNAcentral's name for it is "partial 16S ribosomal RNA". It matches the Rfam family "Bacterial small subunit ribosomal RNA", at positions 28 to 523 of the family's 1533-position model. The record is from RNAcentral.
GACGAACGCUGGCGGCGUGCCUAAUACAUGCAAGUCGAACGCUUUUUCUUUCACCGGAGCUUGCUCCACCGAAAGAAAAAGAGUGGCGAACGGGUGAGUAACACGUGGGUAACCUGCCCAUCAGAAGGGGAUAACACUUGGAAACAGGUGCUAAUACCGUAUAACACUAUUUUCCGCAUGGAAGAAAGUUGAAAGGCGCUUUUGCGUCACUGAUGGAUGGACCCGCGGUGCAUUAGCUAGUUGGUGAGGUAACGGCUCACCAAGGCAACGAUGCAUAGCCGACCGGAGAGGGUGAUCGGCCACACUGGGACGGAGACACGGCCCAGACUCCUACGGGAGGCAGCAGUAGGGAAUCUUCGGCAACGGACGAAAGUCUGACCGAGCAACGCCGCGUGAGUGAAGAAGGUUUUCGGAUCGUAAAACUCUGUUGUUAGAGAAGAACAAGGAUGAGAGUAGAACGUUCAUCCCUUGACGGUAUCUAACCAGAAAGCCACGGCUAACUACGUGCCAGCCGCCGCAGUAA